GUACGUUCAGUGCCACUCAUCACCAUGGCACAGAGCAGCCCUGGGCAGACUGCGGCUGCAUGGCCAUGGACGUGAGCGUGAAGGAAGGACCCUUCCCACGCAGCUGCCCAGGUCACACAGCUGGACUUGGACCCAAGGAGGCAGCAAUUAAAGGUUCAAGCGUGCCCUGGGGACCCGCGAGAGGAGACAGAGAGUCAGUACUGGCGGUGGUAUCCAGCUUUCACCUCUAGCUUCCCCGCAGGAGGCGAAGUCCCUGUGUGACUGCGUUUCCGAGAGGCUGGGAUGGCAGCAGUGGGCUGGGAGGCCUGUGCAGGGCCCUGACUGUGGCACAGGCGGCCUGCGGGCCAGGAGUCUACCCUCCGGAAUGCCUCUGAAGACCAAGUCCCGGGCCUGGCCCCCAGCUUUGUGUGCCCUCCCACUACAGAAGCUGACGGCCUCUCUGUACGCCAGCAAGGAGACCCUGAGUGUGGCUCUCGGCCCUUCUGUAUCCUUUACUAUAGCGUCAACCAAGCACAGCACUAGCCAUUCAGUCCCGUCGUUCUUCCUGCUGAGUCACCGGCUUCCCACCGUGUGCCGGACCGAUCGCACCGGCUCGCGCCCGCCCGCGCACGGCCGCCGUCCCCCGCGAGGCCGCGCCCAGCGCCCGGCUCUCCGAGCGCCCCUCCUCGCCAGGGCCGCGGGCGCGGCGGAGGCGGAGCUGGCCAGGCUCAGGGCCAUUCGGCUGGGCGGCCCCCCUGCCCCACGGCGGGCGCAGCAGCCCCCUCAGGUGCAAGGGCGCCACCUGCGCACUCCGGUGAGUGACCACGGAGCGCAGGUGUCACAGCAAGGAAGCACACCCACCUUGGAACCGAGUAACGAGGUCUGCGGCCACCUGGGAGUCCUCCCAUUUCUCUACUCAGCUCGUCUGGCCCUCAGUUCGGAACCUGUCUGGGUCCCCAUCAAGCAAAAGGGACGGGAGGGGCCCCGCCCCCCACGCGGCCUCUUUCCAGGCCAACUGGACGAGGGCGAGCGCCGGCCCGGCGGGUCAGCCGGCUUCCCACUCAGGCAUCCGGCAUCUCGAAGCCUCCGGCGGGAGCCUGGGCUCCUGUUCCUCCCUCUGAGGACCGGGAGACCCCAGAGCCCGCGCGCCGGACCUGCUUCCCCCACGGGAUCGCGUGGGCGGCGGGGCGGGGCGGGGCCUGGGCGCCACACAGUCCCGCGCCGUGACCCGGUCGGGGCGGGCUUAGAAGCACCCCUCGGCUCGCGGCCGCCCGCAGGUGCGAGCAGCCGGGGACCUGGAACCCCGCGGGGCGGGGAGAGGGCUGGUCCGCUACGCCCAGUUGGCGGGCGGUCAGGUCCUGUCUCACGCCGGCCGGAAUCUGUUAGAGGCAGCACGGAGGACCCUGGGGGCGCCUCGACCCCUGAGAGAAGGGUCUUUAUGACCAGGGCUGGAAGGCAGCCCUGCCAUGAGGACCAGCCUGAAGCCCGCACAUCUUUUAGCUUGGACUACCGCGCUGGAAAGAUGCAGCCGCGCUCUCUGAACCUUGUUUUGUAGAGCGAGUAGGUUCUCCACCUUCUCUUCUCCCCCAGCGGCAUCAGGCGGCUGAUCAAACUACCAAUGAAGAAACGUCUUCCCUGUGCCAGGCAGCCCCGCCGAGCCCUUACUUCCCUUGUCAUUUCCUCCCUACGAUCUUACUGUAGGCUUUUGCACGCGCCUCAUUUCCAUGUCCCAUCAAUGCAGCUUCCUCUUCCUGGGACACUCUUCCCAACUUCAUUAUCUUCAUUAAGAUAUCUUUACAUAUUCAUUCCAAGACCUUGAAAGCAGACGCCUCGUGUACGCUUCUUAGAAUAAAAACAUUUGUAGCUAGUGUCUCCGGUGGUCUCUGUAAUGAUUCUGCACAAAAUGUGAUGGCACGUGGAGCAGGGUUUAUCUCAGCAGAGAGUGGAUGACUGUGCAUGAGCCCC
RNAcentral lists this long non-coding RNA (1944 nucleotides) under Equus asinus (donkey). RNAcentral describes it as "lncRNA (ENSEASG00005032747.1)". Lineage: Eukaryota; Metazoa; Chordata; Mammalia; Perissodactyla; Equidae. The record is from RNAcentral.